Molecule: ribosomal RNA, 330 nt
Filed under: uncultured bacterium
Lineage: Bacteria
Description: bacterial SSU rRNA
Rfam family: Bacterial small subunit ribosomal RNA
Source: RNAcentral
AACACAUGCAAGUCGAACGGCAGCACGUUAUGUAGCAAUACAUAUGGGUGGCGAGUGGCGGACGGGUGAGUUACGCGUGGGAAUCUGCCUUUGAAAGGGGGACAACCCGAGGAAACUCGGGCUAAUACCGCAUAAACUCGAAAGAGAAAAGCUGCCUCACGCCUAGAUUAUUUUUGUGAUUGAAGAAGAGAAUAAUGUAGGUGUGAGGUGGCGGUCAAAGAGGAGCCCGCGUCCGAUUAGCUAGUUGGUGGGGUAAAGGCCUACCAAGGCGAUGAUCGGUAGCUGUUCUGAGAGGAUGAUCAGCCACACUGGAACUGAGACACGGUCCAG